UCUGGAGGACAAGAUGACCUGAACACACUUGAUCUCAUCUGAUUUUGCAAGCUAAGCAGGCUCAUGCUUGGUUAGGACUUAGGUGGGAGACUACCAGGAAACAGGACAGAUCUCCAGGU
Molecule: ribosomal RNA, 119 nt
Filed under: Pogona vitticeps (central bearded dragon)
Lineage: Eukaryota; Metazoa; Chordata; Lepidosauria; Squamata; Agamidae
Source: RNAcentral